Osmia bicornis bicornis is the source of this 740-nucleotide long non-coding RNA. RefSeq lists it as uncharacterized. The transcript is spliced from 2 exons. The record is from RefSeq and is a predicted model, not a curated record. NCBI's taxonomy places the organism in Eukaryota, Metazoa, Arthropoda, Insecta, Hymenoptera, Megachilidae.
AUCGACGAUAUCAAUUUAUCAUGCAACCAGCACUGUUUCAAUUUUAUUCGACAAUUAUGUGGAACGAUUCUAUCGAGGCAAGAAAUUGAAACGAGACCUGCCGAUUUAUCCGAACGAGUGAAAACAAUGCGAUGUUCAGCUACGACACCAGAACGAAAUCCUAAGAGUUGCACACAGAACGAAGCACGGCUGGAAAGCCCUAUCUCAUACAAUUUUACGACUUGGCCUGUGCAAUGAACGCGUUCUGUUGUUGCAACCAGAACAAACGCAACAAAAAGAAAAAAAAUAACCUCGGUAGAGGAAUAAAGGAAAAAAGAGGAGAACGAAAAAAAAAAAUAAAUAAAUAAAACAACACAGGGAAUCUAUGCAUCAGAAUCGAGGUGCACCCAGGGAAUAAUUUCAAACGAACGAGCUCGCGGCGAGACGCGUGACUUUCCCGGGAGCUUUUCGAUUAAAGGGAAACGGCUAACGAUGAACAUUGUUUGGACGCAUUCGAUGCAGCUGGUAAACCAAAAGUACAGUUCGCGUAUUCGAGUCGGGACACGGAUCCCGGAUAAUCCUACUUUGCCGACCAACCACACGACCAUCGUCCUCUGUUCAUUGUUCGUUAGCGAAUCCCACGUAAUUAUCCCUUAUUUACGCCUCCGCAAACAACCACGUCUCUAAGUCAUGAUUAUCUUCAAAGUAAAUUCGACGUUUGAAUCGAAAAUGAGAAAUCAGCAAUUGAAACUUUGUAAAAA